This 406-nucleotide ribosomal RNA is filed under the name uncultured bacterium. Its description in RNAcentral is "bacterial SSU rRNA". It matches the Rfam family "Bacterial small subunit ribosomal RNA", at positions 355 to 776 of the family's 1533-position model. The record is from RNAcentral.
UCAAGAAUAUUCCUCAAUGGACGAAAGUCUGAAGGAGCGACGCCGCGUGCAGGAUGAAGGUUUUCGGAUCGUAAACUGCUUUUACAAGGGACGAAUUCGUGACGGUACCUUGUGAAUAAGAGGUUGCUAACUCUGUGCCAGCAGCAGCGGUAAUACAGAGACCUCAAGCGUUAUCCGGAUUUAUUGGGCGUAAAGCGUCCGCAGGUGGUUUAGUGUGUCGGGGGUUAAAACCUAACGCUCAACGUUAGGAUCGCCUUCGAAACUGCUAAACUAGAGUAUGGAAGAGGCAAGCGGAAUUCUCGGUGUAGUCGUAAUAAGCGUUGAUAUCGAGAAGAACACCAAAUGCGAAGGCAGCUUGCUAGUACAUUACUGACACUCAUGGACGAAAGCGUGGGGAGCAAACAGG